GCCCCUGUAGCUCAGCUGGAUUAGAGCGCCGUCUUGCGAUGGCGGAGGUCAGACGUUCGAACCGUCUCAGGGGCGCCA
This 78-nucleotide transfer RNA is filed under the name Hyphomicrobiaceae bacterium TMED74. RNAcentral describes it as "tRNA-Arg". Lineage: Bacteria; Pseudomonadati; Pseudomonadota; Alphaproteobacteria; Hyphomicrobiales; Hyphomicrobiaceae. RNAcentral also lists the same sequence under 1 other name. The record is from RNAcentral.